GUACACUCCUGCGGGAGGCAGCAGUGGGGAAUAUUGGACAAUGGGCGCAAGCCUGAUCCAGCCAUGCCGCGUGAGUGAUGAAGGCCCUAGGGUUGUAAAGCUCUUUCACCGGUGAAGAUAAUGACGGUAACCGGAGAAGAAGCCCCGGCUAACUUCGUGCCAGCAGCCGCGGUAAUACGAAGGGGGCUAGCGUUGUUCGGAUUUACUGGGCGUAAAGCGCACGUAGGCGGACUAUUAAGUCAGGGGUGAAAUCCCGGGGCUCAAUCCCGGAACUGCCUUUGAUACUGGUAGUCUUGAGUUCGAGAGAGGUGAGUGGAAUUCCGAGUGUAGAGGUGAAAUUCGUAGAUAUUCGGAGGAACACCAGUGGCGAAGGCGGCUCACUGGCUCGAUACUGACGCUGAGGUGCGAAAGCGUGGGGAGCAAACAGGAUUAGAAACCCUAGUAGUCCCAUGA
This 453-nucleotide ribosomal RNA is filed under the name uncultured organism. Its description in RNAcentral is "partial 16S ribosomal RNA". It matches the Rfam family "Bacterial small subunit ribosomal RNA", at positions 331 to 800 of the family's 1533-position model. The record is from RNAcentral.